UUGGAUACAGGAAAGAUAGAAGCGAAAAAAUGUCAGCUUUCGAUUUUCGCUUUGUGAAAUUUAAAAUCUACAAGAUUCUGAAAGCUCUGAAAGAUUACGCUUAGCGGUUACGCGAUCGUUCGUGACACUUUGCAAUCGUUUUAAAAUGUUGCAGCCGUGUUAAGUACGACGACAUUAUUGAAGAUAAACAGUUCGAUUCGUCCGUAAGAGGAAAACGUUUGUUCGUCUUCACGCACACAGAAAGUCCAUCAAAGGCUGCUCGUAAAAGCGGACAGAGAAACGCGGACACGCGCGAGUGCAAGCUGAACCGAGGGGCGGGGGUCGUUUCACAGGCGAAAACCGUGGCGGUAAGCAGGAAGAAGGAAGGAAAUAGAAGGACGGGAGGGUAAAGAACAGCUAGAUGAUUUCAUGGGAAGACAAGUGGGGUCCGCUUGAUGCACGUUCUAAGUUCCUCUGGACAAGCGGACUCUCGUUAUAGGAACCGGUAACACAUUGGACCUUCGUCUUCGGGGGCUAAGUGAAAUUCUUGAGAAGUUUAAUUUAAUUAUACCGGGGGCAACCGAAGCGAUUAAUCGUGACGUACCGAAUAACCGAGCUCUUCGUCUUGUACCCGGCGCUAUUGGCUUCGCCUUGUCCGUCUUAUAUCGAUUCUUCGGGCGCGAAAACUUUGGUCAUACACUAAGGAGGACACUUUGGAACGCCGGCACCACGGCACGUCGUACCACGCCACGCUGUACUGUACCACACCGUGCCGUACCGCACAGAGCGCCGGCGCCGCGUCGAAAUUAUAAUGAGAUUAAACCAGAAAUGUUGCCUGCCAACACCUUCAACCUGUACCUUUGCGAUUAAAUCAAGUUGCCUAGUUUCGCAAUUGCA
Long non-coding RNA from Bombus pascuorum, 876 nucleotides. RefSeq lists it as uncharacterized. The record is from RefSeq and is a predicted model, not a curated record. The transcript has 2 exons. NCBI's taxonomy places the organism in Eukaryota, Metazoa, Arthropoda, Insecta, Hymenoptera, Apidae.